GGAGUAGUACUCAAGAGGCUGAAGAGGCGCCCCUGCUAAGGGUGUAGAUCGGUAAUCACCGAUGCGAGAGUUCAAAUCUCUCCUACUCCGCCA
Molecule: transfer RNA, 93 nt
Filed under: Bacilli bacterium
Lineage: Bacteria; Bacillati; Bacillota; Bacilli
Description: tRNA-Ser
Rfam family: tRNA
About the family: Transfer RNA (tRNA) molecules are approximately 80 nucleotides in length. Their secondary structure includes four short double-helical elements and three loops (D, anti-codon, and T loops).
Source: RNAcentral